RNAcentral lists this non-coding RNA (30 nucleotides) under Mus musculus (house mouse). Lineage: Eukaryota; Metazoa; Chordata; Mammalia; Rodentia; Muridae. The record is from RNAcentral.
UACAGCACUUUCAGGUUUCAUUUUGGGGUC